This 253-nucleotide ribosomal RNA is filed under the name uncultured bacterium. RNAcentral's name for it is "partial 16S ribosomal RNA". It matches the Rfam family "Bacterial small subunit ribosomal RNA", at positions 524 to 776 of the family's 1533-position model. The record is from RNAcentral.
UACGUAGGUGGCAAGCGUUGUCCGGAAUUAUUGGGCGUAAAGGGCUCGUAGGCGGUUUGUCGCGUCGGGAGUGAAAACCAGGUGCUUAACACCUGGCUUGCUUUCGAUACGGGCAGACUAGAGGUAUUCAGGGGAGAACGGAAUUCCUGGUGUAGCGGUGAAAUGCGCAGAUAUCAGGAGGAACACCGGUGGCGAAGGCGGUUCUCUGGGAAUGACCUGACGCUGAGGAGCGAAAGUGUGGGGAGCGAACAGG